RNAcentral lists this unclassified non-coding RNA (230 nucleotides) under plant metagenome. RNAcentral describes it as "partial contains small subunit ribosomal RNA, internal transcribed spacer 1, and 5.8S ribosomal RNA". The record is from RNAcentral.
UCUCCGUUGGUGAACCAGCGGAGGGAUCAUUACCGAGUUCUAUCAACUCCCAACCCUUGCGAACCGUACCCUAGUCUGUUCUCGUUGCUCCCGGCAGGCGGUGGGGGCUACCUGACCCCUCCCCCUGCCGGGGGCGCCGGGCCCCCCGCGCCUAAAAUCUCGACCACAGAAAUCGGUCUGAGGGAAACAAAAAAGAAGCAAAACUUUCAACAACGGAUCUCUUGGCUCUG